This 1328-nucleotide ribosomal RNA is filed under the name uncultured bacterium. RNAcentral's name for it is "bacterial SSU rRNA". It matches the Rfam family "Bacterial small subunit ribosomal RNA", at positions 28 to 1381 of the family's 1533-position model. The record is from RNAcentral.
GAUGAACGCUGGCGGCGUGCUUAACACAUGCAAGUCGAACGAUUAAACCGCCCUCGGGCGGACAUAGAGUGGCGAACGGGUGAGUAACACGUGACCAACCUGCCCCGCGCUCCGGGACAACCGCUGGAAACGGCGGCUAAUACCGGAUACUCCGGGAGGGCCCCAUGGCCCUGCCGGGAAAGCCGAGACGGCGCGGGAUGGGGUCGCGGCCCAUUAGGUAGACGGCGGGGUAACGGCCCACCGUGCCCGCGAUGGGUAGCCGGACUGAGAGGUCGACCGGCCACAUUGGGACUGAGAUACGGCCCAGACUCCUACGGGAGGCAGCAGUGGGGAAUUUUGCGCAAUGGGGGAAACCCUGACGCAGCAACGCCGCGUGCGGGACGAAGGCCCUCGGGUUGUAAACCGCUUUCAGCAGGGAAGAUCCAAGACGGUACCUGCAGAAGAAGCUCCGGCUAACUACGUGCCAGCAGCCGCGGUAAUACGUAGGGGGCGAGCGUUAUCCGGAUUCAUUGGGCGUAAAGCGCGCGUAGGCGGCCGCCUAAGCGGGACCUCUAACCCCGGGGCUCAACCCCGGGCCGGGUCCCGGACUGGGCGGCUCGAGUGCGGUAGAGGAGAGCGGAAUUCCCGGUGUAGCGGUGGAAUGCGCAGAUAUCGGGAAGAACACCGAUGGCGAAGGCAGCUCUCUGGGCCGUCACUGACGCUGAGGCGCGAAAGCUGGGGGAGCGAACAGGAUUAGAUACCCUGGUAGUCCCAGCCGUAAACGAUGGGCGCUAGGUGUGGGGGGACGAUCCCUCCGUGCCGCAGCCAACGCAUUAAGCGCCCCGCCUGGGGAGUACGGCCGCAAGGCUAAAACUCAAAGGAAUUGACGGGGGCCCGCACAAGCAGCGGAGCAUGUGGCUUAAUUCGAAGCAACGCGAAGAACCUUACCAGGGCUUGACAUGCCGAUGAAGCCGGGGAGACCCGGUGGCCGAGAGGAGUCGGCGCAGGUGGUGCAUGGCUGUCGUCAGCUCGUGUCGUGAGAUGUUGGGUUAAGUCCCGCAACGAGCGCAACCCCCGCCCCGUGUUGCCAGCAUUCGGUUGGGGACUCGCGGGGGACUGCCGGCGUCAAGCCGGAGGAAGGUGGGGACGACGUCAAGUCAUCAUGCCCCUUAUGCCCUGGGCUGCACACGUGCUACAAUGGCCGGUACAGAGGGUUGCCACCCCGCGAGGGGGAGCGGAUCCCGGAAAGCCGGUCCCAGUUCGGAUCGCAGGCUGCAACCCGCCUGCGUGAAGCCGGAGUUGCUAGUAAUCGCGGAUCAGCACGCCGCGGUGAAUACGUUCCCGGGCCU